RNAcentral lists this ribosomal RNA (253 nucleotides) under uncultured bacterium. RNAcentral's name for it is "partial 16S ribosomal RNA". It matches the Rfam family "Bacterial small subunit ribosomal RNA", at positions 524 to 776 of the family's 1533-position model. The record is from RNAcentral.
UACAGAGGUCCCAAGCGUUGUUCGGAUUCACUGGGCGUAAAGGGUGCGUAGGUGGUGGGGUAAGUCGGAUGUGAAAUCUCCGGGCUCAACCCGGAAAUGGCAUUGGAAACUACCUUGCUGGAGGAUUUGAGGGGGGAUUGGAAUACUUGGUGUAGCAGUGAAAUGCGUAGAUAUCAAGUGGAACACCAGUGGCGAAGGCGGCUCACUGGGUCUUUUCUGACGCUGAGGGACGAAAGCUAGGGGAGCGAACGGG